RNAcentral lists this ribosomal RNA (427 nucleotides) under uncultured beta proteobacterium. Its description in RNAcentral is "bacterial SSU rRNA". It matches the Rfam family "Bacterial small subunit ribosomal RNA", at positions 355 to 774 of the family's 1533-position model. The record is from RNAcentral. Lineage: Bacteria; Pseudomonadati; Pseudomonadota; Betaproteobacteria.
UGGGGAAUUUUGGACAAUGGGCGAAAGCCUGAUCCAGCCAUGCCGCGUGAGUGAAGAAGGCCUUCGGGUUGUAAAGCUCUUUUAGUCGGAAAGAAAGAGUUGCAAUGAAUAAUUGUGAUUUAUGACGGUACCGACAGAAAAAGCACCGGCUAACCACGUGCCAGCAGCCGCGGUAAUACGAAGGGGGCUAGCGUUGUUCGGAAUUACUGGGCGUAAAGGGUGCGCAGGCGGUCUUGCAAGUCAGAUGUGAAAGCCCCGGGCUUAACCUGGGAAUUGCGUUUGAAACUACAAGGCUAGAGUGCAGCAGAGGGGAGUGGAAUUCCAUGUGUAGCAGUGAAAUGCGUAGAGAUGUGGAAGAACACCGAUGGCGAAGGCAGCUCCCUGGGUUGACACUGACGCUGAGGCACGAAAGCGUGGGGAGCAAACA